GUUGGACAGAUAGAGGUCUUUCUUCCCUGAGAUGUUGGACAGAUCAGCUUUGGCCUUGUCCACAGCUUCAGUCAGACCCAGAUCAGCGAGAUGUUUCUGCAAGAAAGCAAGCCGUUACAUUAGUAACUGAAUUCACAGGGAUUCUACGUGGUACGGCAUGAUGAACACCACAGACGACAUCUUAUGGGCCAGUGCCAUGUCCAGCAAUAAAAGGUUGUUGGUUGUGUCAUCAAAAAAGCCAUAUAUGCCUGAAAGACAGCAUGAACAUAUGAUGUAAAUGUGUAAAGGCAAAUGAUGGAAGCCUAAACUUUCGUGUCAAAGCAAACAGCAGUUUUGGAUGUAAGUGAUUGUAGGAAUCACAUCUGCUUUAACCAUGGCCUCACCUGUGCGAUGCAUCAUGGGUACAGAGACGGUGUAGGAGCGAUGCACUAAGAAACCACGAUUAUCCACCAUCUUAUGAUGGAACUGCUCAUCCCAGUGUGCUGGAGAGA
Onychostoma macrolepis is the source of this 491-nucleotide long non-coding RNA. RefSeq lists it as uncharacterized. The record is from RefSeq and is a predicted model, not a curated record. The transcript has 3 exons. Lineage: Eukaryota; Metazoa; Chordata; Actinopteri; Cypriniformes; Cyprinidae.